UACGAAGGGGGCUAGCGUUGCUCGGAAUUACUGGGCGUAAAGGGAGCGUAGGCGGAUAGUUUAGUCAGAGGUGAAAGCCCAGGGCUCAACCUUGGAAUUGCCUUUGAUACUGGCUAUCUUGAGUAUGGGAGAGGUGUGUGGAACUCCGAGUGUAGAGGUGAAAUUCGUAGAUAUUCGGAAGAACACCAGUGGCGAAGGCGACACACUGGCCCAUUACUGACGCUGAGGCUCGAAAGC
This 237-nucleotide ribosomal RNA is filed under the name uncultured bacterium. RNAcentral describes it as "partial 16S ribosomal RNA". It matches the Rfam family "Bacterial small subunit ribosomal RNA", at positions 524 to 760 of the family's 1533-position model. The record is from RNAcentral.